CUUUUGCUGGCGACCGGCGCACGGGUGAGUAACACGUAUCCAACCUGCCCUUUACUCGGGGAUAGCCUUUCGAAAGAAAGAUUAAUACCCGAUAGCAUAAUGAUUCCGCAUGGUUUCAUUAUUAAAGGAUUCCGGUAAAGGAUGGGGAUGCGUUCCAUUAGGUUGUUGGUGAGGUAACGGCUCACCAAGCCUUCGAUGGAUAGGGGUCCUGAGAGGAAGGUCCCCCACAUUGGAACUGAGACGCGGUCCAA
Molecule: ribosomal RNA, 251 nt
Filed under: uncultured bacterium
Lineage: Bacteria
Description: partial 16S ribosomal RNA
Rfam family: Bacterial small subunit ribosomal RNA
Source: RNAcentral